UGGUGUAUUUAUAUAGACCUUUCUAAAAAGCUUGCUUAGUUUUAACCUUUCCUUCGUCUUUAAGGUAAUAUUUAGUUCAGUCAGCAGGUGGCACCAACCCUUAAGGUUGUAAGGCAGUGAGGAGCAACAGACUCCCUCUUUAGCCUAUGAAGGUCAACAGGCAGGACGGACUUCAGAGCCAGACCAGUUCACAGAAGCUAUCUUCCAGCUCUUCGGAAUGGGAGCGGCAUAUUGGCAAUUUCUGUGACUUCCGGCGCAUGUGCAGUUGUGCCGGAUAGGAAGAUUGCUUCAACUAUGCAUGCGCCGAUACAGCGAUCUCAUUCCAAGAUUAUUGAAGAGAAGAAGAUGGCUCCCGUGAACUCCGCUGGACAGAAUCUGCAAUGAGGGGAAUGAGUGGGCUACAGCUGA
This is a long non-coding RNA of Xenopus laevis (African clawed frog), 408 nucleotides long. RefSeq lists it as uncharacterized. The record is from RefSeq and is a predicted model, not a curated record. The transcript is spliced from 3 exons. Lineage: Eukaryota; Metazoa; Chordata; Amphibia; Anura; Pipidae.